RNAcentral lists this long non-coding RNA (1468 nucleotides) under Pelusios castaneus (West African mud turtle). RNAcentral's name for it is "lncRNA (ENSPCEG00000000590.1)". The record is from RNAcentral. Lineage: Eukaryota; Metazoa; Chordata; Testudines; Pelomedusidae.
CUUGCGGCUGCCCGGCGCCAGCUGUCUCUUUAAGAGAAGCGGAGCUCGCUGGCAAUUACGCAGCGGCAUGUGAGCGCAGCGGCUCAGCCUCCCUACCUCCCGCCCCGCCACAGCGCUGGGCGAAGCCGCGGCUCCAGCACCGGCCGGACCCGGCAUGGAGACUGAGGCAGGUCGCUGAGCGAGCCGGCGCCGGCUGCAGUGCCGCAGUGGGGAGGACCCGGCGGGCCCCGCUGAGCGAACUCAGCUGGAGUGCCAAUUAUCGCCAUUGCUAUGUCCCUGCCGGGAAGCAGACGGCCCUCCACCGGAUCUCGAAGGUGAGUACAUCUAGCCUCUUGUCCCUUCACAGACGAACCUGGAAUCUGCCCAGCACCUUUACUGUUAAAAGAGACAAACCAGGGACCAUUUUUCCUCUCCUCCCAAGUGCAUUAACGCAGCGAUUGCGCAGGAGUAGACCCAAGAGCGUUCAUUUAAAAAGGGUGGCUUGGAAGAUCCUUUUGGGGCUGUCCCCGCAGAGCUGUGAACAAACCAGGCUUGCACGUCUAGCCACUCUUCUGCACCACACUUGCACAACUGCUCCCACUCAUGCGAGCACACUUGCACUCAUGUCUCUCCACUGCUGUGAGCGAAGUCUGGCCCGUCUCUUCACUUCCGGUUCGCCAAGGGCAGGCGUUGAUGGAGCAACCUUUUCCUCAGCCGCUGGCGUGGCGGCUGUGAAUCUCUGAGAGGUCUGCCCCUAGAAGAGGUCUUCCCUAAGCUGCCAAGCUCUGUGUCCAGUCAGAGGAGUGGGGAGAAAUGUUCAUCGUUCCCACCCCCAGGAUGGGGGAGCCAUACAUCCAGAGUGGCCAGGCCAUGCCGUCGAACAAGAGAAACCAGAGGUGGCCCAUCAGACAGACGUGUUGGGAGCAGGGGGGUUAGUGUAGCUAUAAGUAAAAUGCAGUGAAAAGUGAACUGAAUUCCAGCAGGCUCGGGGAAGGGUUGGUCGCGGUAGCAGUGUGGAAAGGGGGUAGGGGUGGGAGAGGAGAGUGCUGAGUGGCUCCGCAUCAAGACACACGAUUGCUGUCAUUGGGUGCAAGACCCUGGCCAUAGGACGGGUGGAUUGUGCCCUUUGCCCAGCUCCUGUUGGCUGGGAACCCUUUGUGGGGCUGCUCAAGAGGUGUAAGAGCUCUUUGCUGCAAUGGGGCUGUAGGAGGGGGGCGAUGGGGCACAGCCUUCCCGGGAGACUAGAGGGCACCCCGUAGAGUUUGCAACUCAGCCCUCCCUUGAGCUACUGUCCCGAUAACCCUGCCAAGACAGCCUGGCUCUGUUCCAUCUUGAUCCCUGCUGUUUUGUUUUGUCCUUUUGUCUUUGUGUCUUUGGUGGUUUGGAAGCCGUGGCUUUUAUGGAAGGAGUGGCUUGGCCUCGUUCUUUAAGCCUUCAGCACCCCCUGCCACUCAGACUGAGAAACAGCCUCUUCUUCCUGCCUCCAGGC